GAUGAACGCUGGCGGCGUGCUUAACACAUGCAAGUCGAACGAACCUUCGGGUUAGUGGCGGACGGGUGAGUAACGCGUGAGAAUCUGCCCUCAGGAGGGGGACAACAGCUGGAAACGGCUGCUAAUACCCCAUAUGCCGCGAGGUGAAAUGAAUUUCGCCUGAGGAUGAGCUCGCGUCUGAUUAGCUAGUUGGUGUAGGUAAUGGCUCACCAAGGCAUCGAUCAGUAGCUGGUCUGAGAGGAUGAUCAGCCACACUGGGACUGAGACACGGCCCAGACUCCUACGGGAGGUUUCAGUGGGGAAUUUUCCGCAAUGGGCGAAAGCCUGACGGAGCAACGCCGCGUGAGGGAUGAAGGCCUCUGGGCUGUAAACCUCUUUUAUCAAGGAAGAAGAUCUGACGGUACUUGAUGAAUAAGCCACGGCUAAUUCCGUG
Molecule: ribosomal RNA, 433 nt
Filed under: uncultured bacterium
Lineage: Bacteria
Description: bacterial SSU rRNA
Rfam family: Bacterial small subunit ribosomal RNA
Source: RNAcentral